This 468-nucleotide ribosomal RNA is filed under the name uncultured bacterium. RNAcentral describes it as "partial 16S ribosomal RNA". It matches the Rfam family "Bacterial small subunit ribosomal RNA", at positions 28 to 507 of the family's 1533-position model. The record is from RNAcentral.
GACGAACGCUGGCGGCGUGCUUAACACAUGCAAGUCGAACGGAAAGGCCCUGCUUUUGUGGGGUGCUCGAGUGGCGAACGGGUGAGUAACACGUGAGUAACCUGCCCUUGACUUUGGGAUAACUUCAGGAAACUGGGGCUAAUACCGGAUAGGAGCUCCUGCUGCAUGGUGGGGGUUGGAAAGUUUCGGCGGUUGGGGAUAGACUCGCGGCUUAUCAACUUGUUGGUGGGGUAGUGGCUUACCAAGGCUUUGACGGGUAGCCGGCCUGAGAGGGUGACCGGCCACAUUGGGACUGAGAUACGGCCCAGACUCCUACGGGAGGCAGCAGUGGGGAAUAUUGCACAAUGGGCGGAAGCCUGAUGCAGCAACGCCGCGUGCGGGAUGACGGCCUUCGGGUUGUAAACCGCUUUCGCCUGUGACGAAGCGUGAGUGACGGUAAUGGGUAAAGAAGCACCGGCUAACUACGUG